GUGUUUCUGCUCACAGUCACCACUCCUCUCUCUGGUAUAUAGUCCUGAGGAGGUGAAUAAGGAGUUUCUGGGAAGGUAUUGCCUUCCCGGGUCCUUGUUUGGGCAGCUAAAAGACCUCUCACUGAUUAUCAAAUGAGUCACGCAACCCUGCUGAGUUACAGUGUAAAAAGUUACACCUGUAAGCGUUCUGCCAGAUAGAACACUCUCUCAAGUAUCCCUGAAUGCAUCUGUGUCACAGUCAGCCUGGGCUGUGAGGAAGCGAGAAGCUUUGCAUCGUGUGCAACAUUUCUGCAAGUGCGUGCAGGGCUUGUCACUGAAACCAGCCACACCCAGCUGUGACAGAACCCCGCCCUCAGCACCUGUGCCCGCUUUGGAGCCGGGCUCAUCAGGGGGAUGAGGUUCAGCUGCUCUGGGAGUGAUCCCCUCGCCAGGCUCUGCACAGAAGGAGCCCUGGCAGUACCUCAGGCUGCGUUUGGAGUGAGAGUGCAGCCAGCGUGGAGGUCUUGGAGAGAGGGCAGCAGUUGUGGCCUGAGAACCAACUAAUUUCCAGAACAAAGGAGGCUUGUCCUAGAGUACCUGCAAAGCUGCAAGCAAAGGAUGGAUAAACCUCACUGAAAUCACUGUUCUGAGACUGCAGGCACAGCAAUCGAGGACAGCCCAGAUACAAGCCAGAUCUCGUUUCCAAAGCAAAGACUGGAUUAAAAGUAAAGUACAAUAAAAAGAAGAUCUGGAAAUCUGAAAAUGUGGAAGCAGAAUAACAAUCCAACAAAGAAUGAUACCAGUCCUAUCAGAGGUACAACAACAUGCUACUGUGCUGCGUGUCACUGGAUAUUAUGAUCACAUUCCCGUGCUGGCCAAAGGGAAGAAAAGGGUGUUUGCAAGGCCCUGUAGACACAAAGAACCCAGAACAGUUCCCCAGGCAAGGGGAGUCAGGUUCUGCUGCUAUCUUAGAGGAGGAUUCCUGCUGCUUCACAGUAGUGCUGCUUCCUAAAGUGACUUAAAGGAAAAGAUUCAUCAAGGAGGGGAAGCAACCAAGCUUCCUAUGAACAAAGUGAUGAAGAACAAGAGCUGCUGUUGGGAGGAGAUAACUCCCAUGCUGUGCAUGCACACUGCAAUUAAGCUUUCCCUGUCACACCUCUAUGGUACGCAAGAAGGAAAUAAACCACCAGGAAAUAUCAACACUGACUUUCAGAGGAAGAAAUGCAGCAUGAAGCCAUGCAGUUUUGCUGGAAUUGGGUAAGCUGGACCUAGAGUUGUGUAAAGCUCAGAACUUUUACUUUUGCUUCAGUAAAUUGUGCCAGGAGGUUGGUUUGCUUUGCUCAAUUUCCCAACACUCAUUUUAAAUUUUCGUGUGUUGGAAAAUCAGAGCUAGUGCUAAACUUAGGCAAAUUUUGCCAUGUUCUCUUUUCUUUUGCAUGUUAUCAGUUCAGAGUUAAUAUGCUGUCUCUGAUAAUGUGGGGAACAGUAGUACCACAUAUGUUCAGAAUCAUCACACAAAAUGUUUCAAGAGCAAACAGAAGAAAAGACCUAGUGUUGACUUGAUA
Prinia subflava (tawny-flanked prinia) is the source of this 1544-nucleotide long non-coding RNA. RefSeq lists it as uncharacterized. The transcript has 7 exons. The record is from RefSeq and is a predicted model, not a curated record. Lineage: Eukaryota; Metazoa; Chordata; Aves; Passeriformes; Cisticolidae.